GAUGAACGCUGGCGGCGUGCCUAAUACAUGCAAGUCGAGCGAACAGACGAGGAGCUUGCUCCUCUGACGUUAGCGGCGGACGGGUGAGUAACACGUGGAUAACCUACCUAUAAGACUGGGAUAACUUCGGGAAACCGGAGCUAAUACCGGAUAAUAUAUUGAACCGCAUGGUUCAAUAGUGAAAGACGGUUUUGCUGUCACCUAUAGAUGGAUCCGCGCCGCAUUAGCUAGUUGGUAAGGUAACGGCUUACCAAGGCGACGAUGCGUAGCCGACCUGAGAGGGUGAUCGGCCACACUGGAACUGAGACACGGUCCAGACUCCUACGGGAGGCAGCAGUAGGGAAUCUUCCGCAAUGGGCGAAAGCCUGACGGAGCAACGCCGCGUGAGUGAUGAAGGUCUUCGGAUCGUAAAACUCUGUUAUUAGGGAAGAACAAAUGUGUAAGUAACUAUGCACGUCUUGACGGUACCUAAUCAGAAAGCCACGGCUAACUACGUG
Molecule: ribosomal RNA, 497 nt
Filed under: uncultured bacterium
Lineage: Bacteria
Description: partial 16S ribosomal RNA
Rfam family: Bacterial small subunit ribosomal RNA
Source: RNAcentral